UUAGAUACAUUGGCAAAACGAUUAAAUUUUUUUACAAUGACUCAUAUAAAUAUAUCUGUGAAAACAACUUGAAAAAUGAAAGAAUUGCAAAACAGUUGUGUUCCUAUGUUGGAAGAAGGUAAGAAAACUGAGUAACACCCUGUUUAUUGUUUCUUCCUGUUAAUUAUAAAAGUACCAGUAUCUUAUUCUAUAAGGUAAUAAUAUGAUAUAUAAUCAUAUUGGUUUCAAAUUUUGGCACACAAGGCCAGCAAUUUCAGGAGGGGUAAGUCAAUUACAUCAACCCCAGCACUCAAAUGGUACUUAUUUUAUCAACCUUGAAAGGAUGAAAGGCAAAGUUGACCUAAGCAGAAUUUAAACUCUGUGCCGGUGGCAUGUAAAAGGCACCAUUCAAGUGUGAUCGUUACCAGCAUCGCCUUACUGGCACCUGUGCCGGUGGCAUGUGUAAAAAGAUUCAAGCAAGGUCGUUUCCAGUACUGCCUGACUGGACCCCAUGCCGGUGGCACGUAAAAGCACCCACAAGACUCUUGGAGUGGUUGGCGUUAGGAAGGGCAUCCAGCUGUAGAAACUUUGCCUGAUCAAGAUUGAAGCCUGGUGCAGCCAUCUGGUUUGCCAGCCCUCAGUCAAAUCGUCCAACCCAUGCUAGCAUAGAAAGCAGACGUUAAACGAUGAUGAUGAUGAUGAUGAUGAAUGUAAAGUGGACGAAAUGCUGGUAAGCAUUUUGCCUGGCAUGCUAAUGAUUCCACCAGCUUGCUACCUUAAGAUAUAUAAAAACAUUAAGAGAACACGAUAGAGACUAAUGCAACUGAAUGUUAAGCCCUUUUGUAUCAUUCUCUAUUUUGAUCCUUUUGCAUUCUUAGAUUUCCAAAAUCUGUGAUAAUGCAACCAAUCUUAAAAUGGAAUAAGUGUUUUCAGCCAGUAAGACUUUUUUAGAAACUCAAGAAGUAACAAAGAGACAUUAUGUUCAUUGUGACUGUCACCAAAUUGUGUUACCUGUUUUUCUCCAUGUAAUGUACUAAAAGUGUAGGUGUGGCUGUGUGGUAAGUAGCAUGCUUACGAACCACAUGGUUCCAGGUUCUGUCCCACUGCAUGGCACCUUGGGCAAGUGUCUUCUACUAUAGCCUCGGGCUGACCAAAGCCUUGUGGAUUUGAAAGAAGCCCAUCGUAUAUAUAUGUGUGUGUGUGUAUAUAUAUAUAUAUAUAUAUAUGUGUAUGUGUGUGUAUAUGUUUGUGUGUCUGUGUUUGUCCCCCCCACCAUCGCCUGACAAUUGAUGCUGAUGUGUUUACGUCCUCGUAACUUAGCGUUUUGGCAAAAGAGACCAAUAGAAUAAGUAUUAGGCUUACAAAGAAUAAGUCCUGGGGUCGAUUUGCUUGACUAAAGGUGGUGCUCCAGCAUGGCUACAGUCAAAUGACUGAAACAAGUAAAAGAGUAAAAGAGAUAUUGCAGUCAAUUUAAUCAAAGUCUUUGAAUUGCAAGUAUUGCAGGUUUGCUUGAGCUGUUCUUUUUUCUAUCAAUGACACAUUCACCAAUCAAUGUGAUUUAUCUAUUUGUUUCAGUGUCAAAGUAGAAGUGGAAUCUGAUGCAUUUUAAGGCAUCAACUGUGAAGGCUGUUGAUAGUUUAGUUGCAUCUAUUACGUCUACAAACAACUGUGCUUUAAUGCUUCUGUAAAUGUCACAACAAAUGUUGUCUAUUUUGCAUUGUGAGAAUCUGUCAGAAGUCACCAUCAAACACAACUUUAUUAUCAAAUGACCCAUCAUGUUGCAUUAUACCUAAAAAUAAAGGAUUUGCUCUUUAAAAUAAAUAGUUGAUGGUGAUUUCUGAAUAGGUUUUUCAGAUGUAGAGUUAAAUGAAACAUGACAGAUUGAUGAGCUAUAGAUUUUUAAUGGAACCUUUGUGAACGAGCAGUUUUUCACUUUUGGAAAGAAAUGCAGCAAACCCAGAUGAGGCUACAGUCAAUAUGACCCAGCCUCAGGAUUGAACACUUUUUGAUAUUGUUCUAUGCAAAUGCUAUCACAACCUGUCAGGGCUUUCAACCAAAAAGUAAGAUGAUAACUAAUUGAUGCUGGCUAUGAUUUUGCUUUAUGCCACCAGCUGUUUCCCUUUCAACUUCUUGUAUAACAUGUACUAUCAUCUUCUUUGUUAUCAUAACUUAAUCCUAAUGCAUGGUACAAAUCAUCCUAUAUUGGAUCAUACUUUAUUGAAACAACUUACAAGAGGCUAUAGAAACAAUGAAAACAUGUUCAAACUUGAUCUUUCUUUCAUUCUGAUAUAAUGCUCCUAAUAGUACAGAAAUUCCCCUCUUGAUUCCAUUGAAAAUCUUUCAUCAGUUGCUUCUUAUACAUGAUGUUAAGCUGGAGUGGAUUAGCCAAGUUGCAGUGCAGCUGCAAGGGUACAAAAGCUGUUGGAACUCUUUGACAAUAUGAAGUGUAUUGCAAUGCUUAUCAUCACUUUGAAAGAGCUUUCGUUUCAUGCCUAUCAUUUAAUAUUUAUCAUGUAAUACCAUUCACAUCUCUUAGAUCUAUAAAUGAUGUUUUGCUUUUCACUUUUAUGAGUAGAAGCCUGAAACCAGAAGUAAAACUGAUCACUACUUUUGGGACUCUCAUAACUCAUUUAACCAACUGCAAACUCUUUUAAUUCACCUGUGCUGUUGUUCAUUCCAAGAGCAAUGAUGAUAAAGGAAUCCAAGAUAUAUGUAAAUGCAUACUUCUUAAAUUGAAUCAAGAAGUUGUGAUGAAAUUUUGUAUCAACUAUCUGAUUCUUGUAUUUCUCAUUUGUGCUGUACUUUAUUGUCUAUUUGCAAUGUUUGAUAAAUAGACAGUUUUCUCAUUAAAACAAAAAAGAUACUUCAAAAUUUGUACAGAUAGAUAUUGCUUUUGUAAAAAUAAAUCCCAGAGACUUCUAAACAACCUCUGCUACUCCAGUUUAUCUUGCAUCUAUAUGUUAAUCCAUUUCAUAGUGUUGAUGUUGUUUGGCACUAUCACCAGCUACUCAUAUAUUUGAAUCUGUAGUUUAUAGACUUCAUUGUAGAAUCAAUUUCAACAUUUAAAUGAAUGUGUAUUGAGCAUUUUUCAUCAAAUACACAUUAUAUGAUAAAACAUGUUGGUUUUCAUAAACAAAUGUGUAGUAGUGUUUUAGCUAAACUGGAUCUUGUACUUGUAGCUACAAUUUCAGUUUUUAAUUCUUUUGGAUAGUAAAAAUGGUUGCAUUGAUUUAUCUGGUGCUAAUUCAAGCAUACCAUAUUUAAUUUGUUAGAUCUACGUAACUCUAGAUUAUGCAUUUUAAAACAAGUUGGAAUCGUUCAUGUCAUAAUAUUCAUUUGGAGGUACAGCACACGUAAUUUUGUCAUAAUCUGCUAUUGAUCAUGAAUAUAUGUUGGAAGGAGUGAAACCUGCCAUCAGGUUGAAAACUUUUCAGUGUAUAUGCAUGAAGUAGGCUUCACCUUUGGAGUUCAACCAGAGAAACUAAUUUCACCACUUUUCCAAAGAUAUGCUUGCUUUGAAGCUGUUCAUAUAAUAUUUUUGACUUUAUACAGAAAACCCUUUCACAAGAGGACUACUUGAUCACAUAUAUAUAUACAUAUAACUAUAUAUCUCUCUAUGUAUACAUAUAUGUAGUAAACUAUCUCUUCACUCUAAUUUUUUUCUUGUCAGUAAUGGAACAUUUGGUGAUCCAAUUCUAGGAGAUGGUGUAUUAUUCACAUCCAAGAUCUCGUAUAACACUAACCAGCUGAUUCCAGGUUUUG
Molecule: long non-coding RNA, 3741 nt
Filed under: Octopus vulgaris (common octopus)
Lineage: Eukaryota; Metazoa; Mollusca; Cephalopoda; Octopoda; Octopodidae
Source: RNAcentral